RNAcentral lists this long non-coding RNA (1665 nucleotides) under Mus musculus (house mouse). Its description in RNAcentral is "predicted gene 5105". The record is from RNAcentral. Lineage: Eukaryota; Metazoa; Chordata; Mammalia; Rodentia; Muridae.
AGAUGUCUCUGAGCCGUCAUCUGUGUACACAGAGCCUGGACCCUUGCUAGAACCUUUGGUGAUUCUGCAGGGCCCAGUGGCUGAGCUGGCUUUGCUCUCACUGCGGAGAUUGAGCGGCUCCAGGAGUGUGACCACCCGAGAGCCAGUUUGGACCUGCUUCUGGAAGCACAGGGGUGUCUCCACAUGUUUGAUUUCCCCCUCAACUUUGCUGACCACAAACUCCAAGGCCUUGGUCUGCGACUUCUUGGUCUGGAGGUAGAGCUGGUCUGCAGUGGCUCGGGUGCCACCACCCUUCCUCAGACCUGCAGCCACAGAGGCUGCGCUGCUCCUCAGCAGGCUCUGCUCCACUCUGGCUCCAACACCUCCACAUUUUAAGUCCAGGAAGGUUGACCAUCGUCCAAAGCCCACUUCAGAGAGCGUGGUAGAGGAUUCCCGGGAGCUGAUGUUCAGAGCCUCAAAAUAAGGCCUUGAAGAUUCGUUCACAGUCUUCACCUCUAGAGAAGAUUCAACCAGUUGUACCACAAGUUUGAAGCCCUGGGAAGCUGGCCAGAACUGCCCAAGAAUGUCCCCCUUUGUCUCUUCCAGCCUGGAUCUGUGGGAAGAUGGAUGUGUUUGGUGCUGAUGCUGCAAUCCACAGAGCUCAUGUACUCUCCAUUUCAGCUUUCUCCCGAGACUUCUACUUACCUUUUGUUAAAAUGCUACGCAAUGCUGGAUGCUGUCGGACGUGUGCAGAGACUGCAGUAUGGUCAUGGAAAAAAGUUGGAGGAGAUGAAGGAAGAUGGGGGUGUGGAGUGAGUGGCGUGCCCUGGGCAUCUCCAGCUGGUCCGUGUGCUUUCUGUGCCAGGGAGCUCUGCUCGGCAAGGCCAACAGGACAGAGAUGGACUGAUUCGGCUUUCAACUGUCACCGGUCACCAAAUGACUUAUCUUGUUUUCCUGGGUAGUGACAGGCCACCAAACACGCUAAACUAUUGCUCCCAAAGAUAGUUUAACUGUUCACAACAAAAUCAGACUUGCCAGGGAUCUGAAGAAACAAGACAAGUAAGAGAAAUCCAUUGGUUGCAUAGAAGAUGCAUUAUGUUCAUCUAUGGAUCCUGAGACCCAAGUAGAGAUUCUAGGUGUGGAAAACACUUUCAUGAAAGACUACUACAUUUAUGUUAUUAGAAGGAUCUGUGACUUUAACUUUUAAUGGACCUUUAAUAGACAAAUGAAGAGUUCAAUGUCUUCAAUUGCAUGUCAAGCAUGAGCGUGCUAGGUGGCAUCUUGUCCGGGAGACAAUUCUGCCUGGAAAAACGGACUAAGCCCUUACACCUCUGAAAAGCAAAUGUCAACUACAUCGUACUGACUUUCUGAUCUCAGUCUGCCAUCUUUCUCUGUCAUGCUAACCGCUGUCUCAGUGCAGAUAUAUACAGCAAAUUUUAAAAGUACUCUUAGGUCUGAAGAGAUGGCUCAGGAGAUAUGAACACACAACUGCUCUUGCAGAGGACAAGUUUGAUUCCUAGCACCCAGGCUGGGUGGCUCACAAACAGCUGCAUGGGAUCUGAUGCCAUCUUCUGGGUCCCCAGAGCAUCUGUGUGCACACUCACAUACCCUGACCCAGGCACAUGUAAAUAUACAAUUAAAAAUAAAAUGUAUUCUUCUCAUUCAGCUAAAAAAAAAAUCAUCCUU